RNAcentral lists this signal recognition particle RNA (315 nucleotides) under Callithrix jacchus (white-tufted-ear marmoset). Its description in RNAcentral is "Metazoan signal recognition particle RNA (ENSCJAG00000079143.1)". It matches the Rfam family "Metazoan signal recognition particle RNA". Rfam says of the family: The signal recognition particle (SRP) is a universally conserved ribonucleoprotein. It is involved in the co-translational targeting of proteins to membranes. The record is from Rfam by way of RNAcentral. Lineage: Eukaryota; Metazoa; Chordata; Mammalia; Primates; Cebidae.
GCUGGGCAUGGUGGUGGAUGCCUGUAAUCCCAGCUACUCAGGAGGCUGAGGCAGGAGAAUCACUUGAUCCUGGGAGGUGGGGGUUGCAGUGAGCCGAGAUCGUGCCAUUGCACUCCAGCUUGGCAACAGAGUGAGACUGCAUCCAGAAAAAGGAAAGAAAAGAAAAUCAGAUACUUCAGACUUGGUGUUUCUGGUUUUUUUUUUUUUUUUUUUUGAGUCGGAGUGCGCUCUUGUUACCCAGGCUGGAGUGCAAUGGCGCGAUCUCGGCUCACUGCAACCCCCACCUCCCAGGAUCAAGUGAUUCUCCUGCCUCAG